This 152-nucleotide small RNA is filed under the name Penicillium coprophilum. Its description in RNAcentral is "A. fumigatus sRNA Afu_254". It matches the Rfam family "A. fumigatus sRNA Afu_254". The record is from Rfam by way of RNAcentral. Lineage: Eukaryota; Fungi; Ascomycota; Eurotiomycetes; Eurotiales; Aspergillaceae.
AUCCAAGUCAAACACUACACUUAAGCUUCUUUUUCAAGGUUUUUUUUACCUACCACAUCUACAUUCAUCAUGUCUCCUUGCACCUGCAACUGCUGCUCCGGCGAGUGCAACUCCUGCUCUUGUGCCAGCUGCAAGGUAUGUCAUUGCUUGCU